CCUACGGGUGACUGCAGUGAGGAAUAUUGGUCAAUGGGCGCGAGCCUGAACCAGCCAUGUCGCGUGAAGGAUGACUGCCCUACGGGUUGUAAACUUCUUUUAUAAAGGAAUAAAGUGAGGCACGUGUGCCUUUUUGUAUGUACUUUAUGAAUAAGGAUCGGCUAACUCCGUGCCAGCAGCCGCGGUAAUACGGAGGAUCCGAGCGUUAUCCGGAUUUAUUGGGUUUAAAGGGUGCGUAGAUGGGUUGUUAAGUCAGUGGUGAAAGUGUGCGGCUCAACCGUAAAAUUGCAAUUGAUACUGGCAGCCUUGAGUAUAGUUGAGGUAGGCGGAAUGUGUGGUGUAGCGGUGAAAUGCUUAGAGAUCACGAAGAACUCCGAUUGCGAAGGCAGCUUACUAAGCUGCCACUGACAUUGAGGCACGAAAGUGUGGGUAGCAAACAGGAUUAGAUACCCGAGUAGUC
This 460-nucleotide ribosomal RNA is filed under the name uncultured bacterium. Its description in RNAcentral is "partial 16S ribosomal RNA". It matches the Rfam family "Bacterial small subunit ribosomal RNA", at positions 338 to 795 of the family's 1533-position model. The record is from RNAcentral.